CCCCAGGAGGUGUACUCUAUGCCCAGGUACUCCAGAUACUGCUCUCCUGUGCAUCUGAAAUGAGGCAUGUGCCAACUGGUCAGACAUCAGAACAAGAACACACAUCGUUAACCACCUCCUCACAGAACCUCAAACCCACAAAUUCAUUGAUCUUCAAGGCCUGAGCGAAGAUAACAGUAUGUACUACACCUGGUCACAUGCUAAGCAUGUCCAAUGCCCA
Long non-coding RNA from Archocentrus centrarchus (flier cichlid), 220 nucleotides. RefSeq lists it as uncharacterized. The transcript has 3 exons. Lineage: Eukaryota; Metazoa; Chordata; Actinopteri; Cichliformes; Cichlidae. The record is from RefSeq and is a predicted model, not a curated record.